RNAcentral lists this ribosomal RNA (1315 nucleotides) under uncultured bacterium. RNAcentral describes it as "bacterial SSU rRNA". It matches the Rfam family "Bacterial small subunit ribosomal RNA", at positions 64 to 1377 of the family's 1533-position model. The record is from RNAcentral.
GAGGGGCAGCACAGGUAGCAAUACCGGGUGGCGACCGGCGCACGGGUGAGUAACGCGUAUGCAACUUACCUAUCAGAGGGGGAUAACCCGGCGAAAGUCGGACUAAUACCGCAUGAAGCAGGGGCCCCGCAUGGGGAUAUUUGCUAAAGAUUCAUCGCUGAUAGAUAGGCAUGCGUUCCAUUAGGCAGUUGGCGGGGUAACGGCCCACCAAACCGACGAUGGAUAGGGGUUCUGAGAGGAAGGUCCCCCACAUUGGUACUGAGACACGGACCAAACUCCUACGGGAGGCAGCAGUGAGGAAUAUUGGUCAAUGGCCGAGAGGCUGAACCAGCCAAGUCGCGUGAGGGAUGAAGGUUCUAUGGAUCGUAAACCUCUUUUAUAAGGGAAUAAAGUGCGGGACGUGUCCCGUUUUGUAUGUACCUUAUGAAUAAGGAUCGGCUAACUCCGUGCCAGCAGCCGCGGUAAUACGGAGGAUCCGAGCGUUAUCCGGAUUUAUUGGGUUUAAAGGGUGCGUAGGCGGCCUUUUAAGUCAGCGGUGAAAGUCUGUGGCUCAACCAUAGAAUUGGCGUUGAAACUGGGGGGCUUGAGUAUGUUUGAGGCAGGCGGAAUGCGUGGUGUAGCGGUGAAAUGCAUAGAUAUCACGCAGAACCCCGAUUGCGAAGGCAGCCUGCCAAGCCAUGACUGACGCUGAUGCACGAAAGCGUGGGGAUCAAACAGGAUUAGAUACCCUGGUAGUCCACGCAGUAAACGAUGAUCACUAGCUGUUUGCGAUACACUGUAAGCGGCACAGCGAAAGCGUUAAGUGAUCCACCUGGGGAGUACGCCGGCAACGGUGAAACUCAAAGGAAUUGACGGGGGCCCGCACAAGCGGAGGAACAUGUGGUUUAAUUCGAUGAUACGCGAGGAACCUUACCCGGGUUUGAACGCAUUCGGACCGAGGUGGAAACACCUUUUCUAGCAAUAGCCGUUUGCGAGGUGCUGCAUGGUUGUCGUCAGCUCGUGCCGUGAGGUGUCGGCUUAAGUGCCAUAACGAGCGCAACCCUUGCCACUAGUUACUAACAGGUGAUGCUGAGGACUCUGGUGGGACUGCCAGCGUAAGCUGCGAGGAAGGCGGGGAUGACGUCAAAUCAGCACGGCCCUUACAUCCGGGGCGACACACGUGUUACAAUGGCGUGGACAAAGGGAGGCCACCUGGCGACAGGGAGCGAAUCCCCAAACCACGUCUCAGUUCGGAUCGGAGUCUGCAACCCGACUCCGUGAAGCUGGAUUCGCUAGUAAUCGCGCAUCAGCCAUGGCGCGGUGAAUACGUUCCCGG